RNAcentral lists this ribosomal RNA (149 nucleotides) under Exobasidium gracile. RNAcentral's name for it is "5.8S ribosomal RNA". It matches the Rfam family "5.8S ribosomal RNA". From Rfam's summary of the family: 5.8S ribosomal RNA (5.8S rRNA) is a component of the large subunit of the eukaryotic ribosome. It is transcribed by RNA polymerase I as part of the 45S precursor that also contains 18S and 28S rRNA. The record is from RNAcentral. Lineage: Eukaryota; Fungi; Basidiomycota; Exobasidiomycetes; Exobasidiales; Exobasidiaceae.
AACUUUUGACAACGGAUCUCUUGGUUCUCCCAUCGAUGAAGAACGCAGCGAAAUGCGAUAAGUAAUGUGAAUUGCAGAAUUCAGUGAAUCAUCGAAUCUUUGAACGCACCUUGCGCUCCUUGGUAUUCCUUGGAGCAUGCCUGUUUGAG